UUAUGUCUUCGCAGCAGGUUAUUAAACCCCAUUAAACUAAAUUGGUGACCUUGAGAACUUAUCUGCAGGGUGUCUUAGCCAGGGGGUUAUAAUUAACCCUUGGAUCAUUUUCAGCUGGUCGGUGAGAGCUUUUGGAAGCUUAACUUGAGCAGGAGUGAGGCCUCGUGAGGCUGAUUUGGGACCCUUGUAAAUUGAUUUGGAGAUUAGUACGAGAGCCAUCUACAGGAGAGUCUAGGGAUCGUGGCAAGGGAGUCACGUCUAGUUAGACAUUGCUAGGGGUAUGCUAGUCGAUCACCUUGC
This is a long non-coding RNA of Ananas comosus (pineapple), 300 nucleotides long. RefSeq lists it as uncharacterized. The record is from RefSeq and is a predicted model, not a curated record. Lineage: Eukaryota; Viridiplantae; Streptophyta; Magnoliopsida; Poales; Bromeliaceae. The transcript is spliced from 4 exons.